RNAcentral lists this ribosomal RNA (285 nucleotides) under Pseudoalteromonas sp. Its description in RNAcentral is "partial 16S ribosomal RNA". It matches the Rfam family "Bacterial small subunit ribosomal RNA", at positions 54 to 329 of the family's 1533-position model. The record is from RNAcentral. Lineage: Bacteria; Pseudomonadati; Pseudomonadota; Gammaproteobacteria; Alteromonadales; Pseudoalteromonadaceae.
GCAGCCCUANCAUGCNAGUCGAGCGGUAACAGAAAGUAGCUUGCUACUUUGCUGACGAGCGGCGGACGGGAUGAGUAAUGCUUGGGAACAUGCCUUGAGGUGGGGGACAACAGAUUGGAAACGACUGCUAAUACCGCAUAAUGUCUACGGACCAAAGGGGGCUUCNGCUCUCGCCUUUANAUUGGCCCAAGUGGGAUUANCUANUUGGUGAGGUAAUGGCUCACCAAGGCAACGAUCCCUAGCUGGUUUGAGAGGAUGAUCAGCCACACNGGAACUGAGACACGG